GAUGAACGCUGGCGGCGUGCCUAAUACAUGCAAGUCGAGCGAACGGACGAGAAGCUUGCUUCUCUGAUGUUAGCGGCGGACGGGUGAGUAACACGUGGAUAACCUACCUAUAAGACUGGGAUAACUUCGGGAAACCGGAGCUAAUACCGGAUAAUAUUUUGAACCGCAUGGUUCAAAAGUGAAAGACGGUCUUGCUGUCACUUAUAGAUGGAUCCGCGCUGCAUUAGCUAGUUGGUAAGGUAACGGCUUACCAAGGCAACGAUGCAUAGCCGACCUGAGAGGGUGAACGGCCCCAACGGAACUGAGACACGGUCCCGAAUCCUACGGGAGGCCGCCGUAGGGAAUCCUCCGCCAUGGGGGAAAGCCCGACGGAGCAAAGGCGGGUGAGUGAUUGAGGUCCUCGGAUCGUAAAACUCUGUUAUUAGGGAAGAACAUAUGUGUAAGUAACUGUGCACAUCUUGACGGUACCUAAUCAGAAAGCCACGGCUAACUACGUG
RNAcentral lists this ribosomal RNA (497 nucleotides) under uncultured bacterium. RNAcentral describes it as "partial 16S ribosomal RNA". It matches the Rfam family "Bacterial small subunit ribosomal RNA", at positions 28 to 507 of the family's 1533-position model. The record is from RNAcentral.